RNAcentral lists this long non-coding RNA (658 nucleotides) under Oryza sativa tropical japonica subgroup. RNAcentral's name for it is "lncRNA OsCMeo_04g0000490". Lineage: Eukaryota; Viridiplantae; Streptophyta; Magnoliopsida; Poales; Poaceae. The record is from RNAcentral.
UAUAGAAAGGGGUAUAGGUGUAAGUGCUACUCCAAGAUUUGGACAAGAUGUUGCAGAUAAUCAUGGGGAGGAGUCUCGUGAAGGAGCUGGUCCUCUAUUCAUGAAGCCGAUGCUGCAUUUUGAUAAGUUGUGUGAAAUUUAUGCUAGUGAUUUGGCUAAAGGAAGGAAUGCUAAAGGUCCUGGAGAUCAACAGCGGGUAGAAGGUUUUGUAGCUGUAGAUGAUGAUGAUGAUCCUGUCAACCAUGUUGUUGAUAAAGCCAAUGCUCAAAAACAUGGUACUGAAAAUCCAACUGCCCCAAAAGGACGUAAGAGGGUUUUUGCUGAUGUUGAUUCUCUUGAGACAAGCUUUUGCAAUGUGUCCAAUUCCUUUGCUAAGUUCCUGGAAGCAGAAAAGGACAAUGGCAUACAACUAGCGAUGAUGAAUAGAGUUGAUGUUCAGGAGGAUACUAAAAAAACCAAGUUAUUUGAUGCAAUCAAGAAAUUGCCAAACUUUUCCAUUGAAGAGGUUGUCAUGGCUGUUCGCAUAAUUGGUAGAGAUGCUGGAAAUAUUGAUCUUUUCUUAGCGAUGUCUCCUGACUACCAGGUGGUAUUUGUUCGCCAGGAGCUUGCUGAGGCGGCAAAAGGAAAUUAGAUGCAUGUUUUGACUUUUAACUUAAAA